UGGGGAAUAUUGGACAAUGGGCGCAAGCCUGAUCCAGCCAUGCCGCGUGGGUGAAGAAGGCCUUCGGGUUGUAAAGCCCUUUUGUCCGGAACGAAAAGCGGUCGGUUAAUACCCGAUCGUGCUGACGGUACCGGAAGAAUAAGCACCGGCUAACUUCGUGCCAGCAGCCGCGGUAAUACGAAGGGUGCAAGCGUUACUCGGAAUUACUGGGCGUAAAGCGUGCGUAGGCGGUUCGUUAAGUCUGUCGUGAAAGCCCUGGGCUCAACCUGGGAAUGGCGAUGGAUACUGGCGGGCUAGAGUGUGGUAGAGGAUGGUGGAAUUCCCGGUGUAGCGGUGAAAUGCGUAGAGAUCGGGAGGAACACCAGUGGCGAAGGCGGUCAUCUGGACCAACACUGACGCUGAGGCACGAAAGCGUGGGGAGCAAACA
RNAcentral lists this ribosomal RNA (427 nucleotides) under uncultured prokaryote. RNAcentral's name for it is "bacterial SSU rRNA". It matches the Rfam family "Bacterial small subunit ribosomal RNA", at positions 355 to 774 of the family's 1533-position model. The record is from RNAcentral.